UCUUCUCUUCUUAAACUCACAACACUAGGACUUUGAAUUGUGAUAGACCUCACAUCUCAGAUAUGCUGCAGCAUAUUUUAUAUUAACAAAAAAAGCAUUUUUUAUAACACCAUUUGCUUCACAUCCUGUUUGUAUUCCCUCUCUUUCAAAGAUGCCGAUUACACACUUAUUUUUUAUUGAGAGUCAGCAAUUAACUAGUCGUCUUGUAUUUUUCCAAUCUUGGUGUCUUGAUUUUUGGGGGGUUUUGAAAUGAAAAUUGGAGAUUCUGGUUGAAUUAGAGCCAAAUUAAGAGCGCCUAUAUGUAUAUAUUUCCAAUUGCACAUCCACACUCGAUGGGGAUCUGAAAUACAGAAGGAGUUGUUGUUUUCUGAUGUGGCAUCAUCAAGAUUCACAUGCAAAAGCAGUCAUGCUAAUCUGCUUUGGAAGGUGAGAAUCUUGAUGAUGCUGCAUCGGCAAUAAACGACUACAAAUCAAGCUUCCCCACUUUCCAACUGCUUUUUAUUUUUAUUUUUCUCUCUCUCUCUCUCUCGACAUGAUUGACUGCUGAUUGAACUUCACUCUGCAGAUGAUACAUUUGUGAUUAUUCUUCUGCUCCACCCAGAAUAACCGCAACUCCUUUUCUUCACUCCAACUUGUGUUCUAAUUUAAUCUAAUUUUCUGAAUUUCAGCACAAUUAUGACAUCAAUCCAAAGACCCGGUCUUUGCGCAACAAGUUGAAAUUAGAGAUAAUCAGAUGAUUGAAGCUAGUUAGGAGAAGGAAGAAUGUAUGAUCACAACUUAUAUGUCUCACUCUUAUUAUUUGGAUGAGAACUAAAAUUUUAGUUUCCUUCUCUCGAGGUAGAGAUCCUCUCAAUUAGUAUACGAGUUUACUCCAAUUGAUUGAUUGAAUUAACAAAGUUCAACAUAUAUAGUAUAUGAAAAAUACUAACCCUAAUUAAUCAGCACAUCUUCUUUCAAUCUCUCAGCAUAUGCAAGAAGAAAGUUUGUUAGCCGUUGCUCGUUAAUAUCCUAAUUCCUAAUGUAUAUUUGUAUGUAUAUGUACAUUACUCCCUCCGUCUUAUUCUUAUUUGCUAUGCCUCAUUUUCUUUGGAGUUGUCUCGUUUCAUUUAAGAAGUAAUGACUUUUAAUUUUAUGUAAUUCCCUUUUACAUUCUCUUUUCUCAUGGUCAUCCAUUAGCCAGUACACUGUAUAAUGUAUUAAACUUUAUUCUUAAGAUAUUUGUACCUAGAAAAAAUGAUCUACUUCACAUUGGAAGUAUAUUUUAAGAUAUGUUCUUAUGUAUACUUACCAUUCUGAUUAAAUAAGACAUUAUGAAAAUAUUAUGUCUUCAUUAAUAGUAAUAAAUUAAAAACACAUAAUUUUUAAAGGGUAAUAGGGCGGAGAGUAUAGCAAUAAACCAGUGGUGUCGCACCUUCAACCAAGCCACAGUAUUUAGUGUUUGAAGGGUUUCCUUAUUUUUUUUAGGAAGAUGUUUAGUGUGUCUUGGAGUAUUAAUGUCUUUUGCUUGACUAAACAUUGUUGUAGCCUAGUAGAUUGCCCAAUUGGGUUCAGAUCAUAUGGCCGGUGCCUCAAUAGUGUCUUCGGCCCCUACCUCGUUGUAGCCAUCAACAAUCUUUCCGCAGAACGCUGUUGCCUUUUGAGAAUUGAACAACCGAUUUUUCACAAAUGUCGACGUAACACUCAAAAAUCCUUUUGGUACUCAUGCAAGCUUAAGUUUUUUGGAGUUGGAUGCGCUCGAUGCCUUUGGGGAGUUGCAAUGAACCAAUUUUCGGAGAGUAGUUGUGCUCAGACUGGUGAGUUGAAUGGAUCAGUGUUGAGCUUCUAUGGGUAGACUGCAAGACUUUAAAGACAAGUUUCAAGGUGUUGUAUAUAUUCACUUGAAUAAAUGAGAAAUGAAUGUGUGGAGUGGAUAUUAAUACAAUGCCACUCCAGUAGUUUUUUACCA
Molecule: long non-coding RNA, 1945 nt
Organism: Salvia hispanica
Lineage: Eukaryota; Viridiplantae; Streptophyta; Magnoliopsida; Lamiales; Lamiaceae
Source: RefSeq, a predicted model, not a curated record